Molecule: ribosomal RNA, 795 nt
Filed under: uncultured Thermococcus sp.
Lineage: Archaea; Methanobacteriati; Methanobacteriota; Thermococci; Thermococcales; Thermococcaceae
Description: bacterial SSU rRNA
Rfam family: Archaeal small subunit ribosomal RNA
Source: RNAcentral
ACGGCUCAGUAACACGUCGGUAACCUACCCUCGGGAGGGGGAUAACCCCGGGAAACUGGGGCUAAUUCCCCAUAGGCCUGAGGUACUGGAAGGUCCUCAGGCCGAAAGGGACUUAUGUCCGCCCGAGGAUGGGCCGGCGGCCGAUUAGGUAGUUGGUGGGGUAACGGCCCACCAAGCCGAAGAUCGGUACGGGCUGUGAGAGCAGGAGCCCGGAGAUGGACACUGAGACACGGGUCCAGGCCCUACGGGGCGCAGCAGGCGCGAAACCUCCGCAAUGCGGGAAACCGCGACGGGGGGACCCCGAGUGCCGUGGCAACGCCACGGCUUUUCCGGAGUGUAAAAAGCUCCGGGAAUAAGGGCUGGGCAAGGCCGGUGGCAGCCGCCGCGGUAAUACCGGCGGCCCGAGUGGUGGCCGCUAUUAUUGGGCCUAAAGCGUCCGUAGCCGGGCCCGUAAGUCCCUGGCGAAAUCCCACGGCUCAACCGUGGGGCUUGCUGGGGAUACUGCGGGUCUUGGGACCGGGAGAGGCGGGGGGUACCCCUGGGGUAGGGGUGAAAUCCUAUAAUCCCAGGGGGACCGCCAGUGGCGAAGGCGCCCCGCUGGAACGGGUCCGACGGUGAGGGACGAAGGCCAGGGGAGCAAACCGGAUUAGAUACCCGGGUAGUCCUGGCUGUAAAGGAUGCGGGCUAGGUGUCGGGUGAGCCUCGAGCUCGCCCGGUGCCGUAGGGAAGCCGUUAAGCCCGCCGCCUGGGGGAGUACGGCCGCAAGGCUGAAACUUAAAGGAAUUGGCGGGGGAG